Molecule: ribosomal RNA, 429 nt
Filed under: uncultured beta proteobacterium
Lineage: Bacteria; Pseudomonadati; Pseudomonadota; Betaproteobacteria
Description: bacterial SSU rRNA
Rfam family: Bacterial small subunit ribosomal RNA
Source: RNAcentral
UGGGGAAUUUUGGACAAUGGGGGCAACCCUGAUCCAGCCAUUCCGCGUGAGUGAAGAAGGCCUUCGGGUUGUAAAGCUCUUUUGUCCGGAGCGAAACGGUCGUGGUGAAUAUCCGCGACUACUGACGGUACCGGAAGAAUAAGCACCGGCUAACUACGUGCCAGCAGCCGCGGUAAUACGUAGGGUGCGAGCGUUAAUCGGAAUUACUGGGCGUAAAGCGUGCGCAGGCGGUUUUGUAAGCCAGAUGUGAAAUCCCCGGGCUUAACCUGGGAAUGGCAUUUGGGACUGCAAGGCUCGAGUAUGGCAGAGGGGGCUAGAAUUCCUGGUGUAGCAGUGAAAUGCGUAGAUAUCAGGAGGAAUACCGAUGGCGAAGGCAGGCCCCUGGGUUAAUACUGACGCUCAUGCACGAAAGCGUGGGGAGCAAACAGG